UACGUAGGUGGCAAGCGUUGUCCGGAAUCACUGGGCGUAAAGCGCGCGCAGGCGGCAAUCUACGUCUGGGGUGAAAGCCCGGAGCUCAACUCCGGGACUGCCUUGGAUACGGGAUCGCUUGAGGAUUGGAGAGGCAAGGGGAAUUCCACGUGUAGCGGUGAAAUGCGUAGAGAUGUGGAGGAACACCUGUGGCGAAGGCGCCUUGCUGGCCAAUUUCUGACGCUGAGGCGCGAAAGCGUGGGGAGCAAACAGG
Molecule: ribosomal RNA, 253 nt
Filed under: uncultured bacterium
Lineage: Bacteria
Description: partial 16S ribosomal RNA
Rfam family: Bacterial small subunit ribosomal RNA
Source: RNAcentral